GAAGCACCUCCUGGAAUGUGGGAGCUUUGGCAUUUGUUGCCCUGAAGUGUUUGAGAUCCAGGCUGUUCCAGGCUGUUUCCAAAGGCAUCACCUCACCCCAGAGGUUUUUUUCUCUUGGUCCUGUCUGAGUCAAUCUGUGGAGUAAAUGGCACAGAACAGGACAGAGGGAACGUGCUGAAGGGAGACCUGGAGGGAACUGUGCUGGCUCCUGGUGGGAAGGAGGAGGUGGCCAAGGUGUGGCAGACACUUAUUAACUGGGAGGGGAUGUGAUUGAUGGUUGCAUUAGGAGCUGACCUGCCAGGCAAUCACCCCGGGCAUUGAUUUGUCACUGCACCAGCAGCUGCCACACCAGCCCCUCCCUCUCCCACCAGGAUGAAAAACAACCCCAAAACUUUUUAAAGACUCACCACUGGCAGGAAAGACCAGAAGAGCAGUUUCUGACCCCUGGGGACCCUCAGUUGUGCCUCUCACAAAGCCAAGGUGUGAAAAACCAUGAAAUGGGAGGAAAUUAAAAGCAUUCCUGAUAUUAUCAACACAUGGAGUAUAUUUAGCAUACAAACCCCUUCGGAGGCCACGGUGACAACAUCCAAGUGUCCAGUCAUCAGAGCACAGGGGAGCUGCUGGCUCUGCCUGAGGAGCAUCACCAACCUGCAGAUGAAGUCAGGCAGGUGCAGCCUCAGAGGAGCCCUCACACCCUGCCAGCCCUCAGAAAUGAUGCUGAAUCAAUUUUAAAUUCAAGUGAUACCAGGUUGACACAAAG
Molecule: long non-coding RNA, 760 nt
Organism: Lepidothrix coronata (blue-crowned manakin)
Lineage: Eukaryota; Metazoa; Chordata; Aves; Passeriformes; Pipridae
Exons: 6
Source: RefSeq, a predicted model, not a curated record